AGCAGUAGCCGCGGGAAUACGAAGGGUGCAAGCGUUACUCGGAAUUACUGGGCGUAAAGCGUGCGUAGGUGGUGGUUUAAGUCCGUUGUGAAAGCCCUGGGCUCAACCUGGGAAUUGCAGUGGAUACUGGGUCACUAGAGUGUGGUAGAGGAUAGUGGAAUUUCCGGUGUAGCAGUGAAAUGCGUAGAGAUCGGAAGGAACAUCUGUGGCGAAGGCGACUAUCUGGGCCAACACUGACACUGAGGCACGAAAGCGUGGGGAGCAAACAGGAUUAGAUACCCCCGUAGUCCCUGACUCUUAUAC
This 303-nucleotide ribosomal RNA is filed under the name uncultured bacterium. RNAcentral's name for it is "partial 16S ribosomal RNA". It matches the Rfam family "Bacterial small subunit ribosomal RNA", at positions 507 to 807 of the family's 1533-position model. The record is from RNAcentral.